RNAcentral lists this long non-coding RNA (207 nucleotides) under Gossypium barbadense (sea-island cotton). Its description in RNAcentral is "long non-coding RNA (GBAR_LNC005473)". The record is from RNAcentral. Lineage: Eukaryota; Viridiplantae; Streptophyta; Magnoliopsida; Malvales; Malvaceae.
CUGCUCACAAUCAAUCUCGGCAUUAACAAUAGUGUGAUUGUCUUCUUCAACUACUCCAAGCACCGCAAAUCACGAACCCCCACAAAAUUGCCAAAACCAUCGUUCCUAACCACUCCUGUGAAAUGACCUCUUCCCUUCCGCCGUUCCACCAACAUCCAAGGGCCAAAGGCCUCCUCCUCCACUCUCUAUUGAAUUCUUGACUUCUUC